GACGAACGCUGGCGGCGUGCCUAAUACAUGCAAGUCGAACGCUGAAGAGAGGAGCUUGCUCUUCUUGGAUGAGUUGCAAACGUGUGAGUCACGCGUGUGUCACCUGCCUUGUAUCGGGGGAUCACUAUUAGACACGAUAGAUAAUUCCGCAUAACAAUGGAUGACACGGGUGGUUUAUUUGAAAUGGGCCAUUGCUCCACUACAAGAUGGACCUGCGUUGUAUUAGCUUGGAGGUGAGGUAAUGGCUCACCUAGGCGGGGAUACCUAGCCGACCUGAGAGGGUGAUCGGCCAGACUGAGAGUGAGACACGCCCCAGACUGACACGGGAGGGAGCAGUAGGGAAUCUGCGGCAAGGGGGGCAAAACAGACCGCGCAACGCCGCGGGAGUGAAGAAGGUUGUCGGAUGGUAAAGCUCUGUUGUAAGGUAAGAACGGGUGUGAGCGUGGAAAGUUCCCACUGUGACGGUAGCGGACCAGAAAGGGACGGCUAACUACGUG
RNAcentral lists this ribosomal RNA (497 nucleotides) under uncultured bacterium. Its description in RNAcentral is "partial 16S ribosomal RNA". It matches the Rfam family "Bacterial small subunit ribosomal RNA", at positions 28 to 507 of the family's 1533-position model. The record is from RNAcentral.